GGGAAUCUACCCUGAACUGCGGAAUAGCUCCGGGAAACUGGAAUUAAUACCGCAUGUGCCCUGAGGGGCAAAGAUUUAUCGGUUCAGGAUGAGCCCGCGUCCGAUUAGCUAGUUGGUGGGGUAAAGGCCUACCAAGGCGACGAUCGGUAGCUGGUCUAAGAGGAUGAUCAGCCACAUUGGGACUGAGACACGGCCCAAACUCCUACGGGAGGCAGCAGUGGGGAAUAUUGGACAAUGGGCGCAAGCCUGAUCCAGCCAUGCCGCGUGAGUGAUGAAGGCCCUAGGGUUGUAAAGCUCUUUCAGUGGGGACGAUAAUGACGGUACCCACAGAAGAAGCCCCGGCUAACUUCGUGCCAGCAGCCGCGGUAAUACGAAGGGGGCUAGCGUUGUUCGGAAUUACUGGGCGUAAAGCGCACGUAGGCGGACAUUUAAGUCAGGGGUGAAAUCCCGGGGCUCAACCCCGGAACUGCCUUUGAUACUGGGUGUCUUGAGUCCGGAAGAGGUGAGUGGAAUUGCGAGU
Molecule: ribosomal RNA, 520 nt
Filed under: Aurantimonas sp. AU26
Lineage: Bacteria; Pseudomonadati; Pseudomonadota; Alphaproteobacteria; Hyphomicrobiales; Aurantimonadaceae
Also listed under: 2 other names
Description: bacterial SSU rRNA
Rfam family: Bacterial small subunit ribosomal RNA
Source: RNAcentral